This 2782-nucleotide small RNA is filed under the name Pongo abelii (Sumatran orangutan). RNAcentral's name for it is "retained intron". Lineage: Eukaryota; Metazoa; Chordata; Mammalia; Primates; Hominidae. The record is from RNAcentral.
AAGUCAGCCUUCUCUGAGGAAGUGACAUUUCAGCCGAGAGCUGAAGGAGGUAUAAGACUGAGCUAGGUGAAAAGUUGGAGAAUAUUCUAGGAAGAAUAGUAUGUGCAAAGGUCCUGAGUCAGAAAGGAGGUUGUUGCCUUUGAGAAUUUGAAAAAAUAAAGGCUGGUACGGGUGACCUAGUGAAUGAGGAUCAAAGAUGGAGCAUUUAAACACAUUCACUAACACUCUGCCAGGUGCUGAUUCUCAGUGCUGUACAAAUGUAAGCUCGUUUGAUCCUUACAACAGCCCUUUGAGGUCGAUACUACUAUCACCCCCGUUUUACAGAUGCAGAAAAAGGCACCUGCCCAGGUGGUACAGGCAUUGUGGCUGCCCAGGCAUUGUGUCUCCAGAGUGCUGCUGUUACCUCCUCCAUUCAGAUGGGACAUGCUGUGGCCUGGGCAGUGGCCAUAGCAGCAUAGAUAACUAGAGAAUUGUGCAGGUGGAAAAUAUGUUAAAGAGGGGGCAGCAGAGAAUUUCAGCCUUUAGAGGGGUUUUAGUGGUGAAUUGGCUGUGAAGGUGGAGCCUAGUUUCUUGGAGGAUGUAGUGUCACUUAACAGACAUAAAGACUUUCGGAGGGGCUGGUGUAGGCAAGAUGGUGAUAUUUUGACAUGUGUCAGGACGUGGUAAGCUCCUACUGUAUCUGAAUCCCUAGAAUCUAAUGCAUAAAAGAUGUUAAGGUAUUUGUUAAAAGAAUUAUGAAUUCCAAGGAGAAAAUACAACUUGAGCGAAAGUUUGGAGGCAGGAAAGUGAGACAGGUUUGAGCCCCAGCGAUACUUGCCAUGAAGCAGGAGUGUGGAGUGCCAGAGGUCAUUCCCAUCUGUCCCAGCCCUUGUCUCACUGUCGUGUCCUGGGGGCUCACCCACCUCCCCUGUUGGAUGGAAGCUCCUAAAGGCACACACCUCCUUGGGCUUGUCCGCAGCCUUGGUGUCCAGCACAGGUUUUGGCACAUAGAUGCUGAGUGAAAGGAAUGGCAAGCCUCACAGCCAAUGGAAAGAACACCUCUGCGGCUGCCACCUUGCUCCAAGCUGCAUCGUCUCUUGCCUGAAUUAUUGCAGAAGCCUAGCUGGUCUCCUGCCUUCCACACGCCCCCUCCCCCAGUAAUCUUGUUCUCAACAGCAACCAAAGUGAUCCUGUAUAAUCAUAAGUCAUUCCUUGUUUUUCCUCUGGGUGGCUCCCAUUGUAGUCAGUAAAAGGUAGUGGUCUUAGGGUGCCUGACGAGGGCUAUAUGACCUACCCCCACCCCCAGCCAAACUUGGUCUCUUCCUGCUACCCACUCCCUCCACUCCAGCUGUUUUUGUUGUUGUUUUUGGUUUGUUUGUUUUUUUUGAGAUGGAGUCUUGCUUUGUCACCCAGGCUGGAGUACAGUGGUGCAGUCUCAUCUCACUCCAACCUCUAGCCUCCCAAGUUCAAACGAUGCUCCUGCCUCAGCCUCCCGAGUAGCUGGGAUUACAGGUGCCCACCACCACACCCAGCUAAUUUUUGUUAUUUUUAACACAGAUGGGGUUUCACCAUGUUGGCCACGCUGAUCUCGAACUCUUGACCUCAGGUGACCUGCCUGCCUCGGCCUCCCAAAGUGCUGAGAUUACAGGUGUGAGCCACCACACCCAGCCAUUCCAGCUGUUUUGUGUUUUUCAAACACAUUUGACACAUUUCUGCUUCAGGGCCUUUGCACUGGGUGUUCCCUCUACCUAGACAAAUGCUCUUCCGCCGGAUAUCCACAGCUCUCUUCGAGUCAUUUCAGUGAGACCUUCUCAUUCCCUCCUAUUUAAAAUUGCACCCUCCACCCCUGGAAUUCCCCUUUUCUGUUUCCUCUUUUGUUUUUCUCCAUGAAAUGUUUGUGCUUCUAAAAUACUGGGUCCUUUGUCCUUCAUCUCUCACUGAAGCGAAAGCUCCAGAGUAGCUCCCUUGGUGAGUAGUAUUCAGGACAUAAUUGUUGGAAACUGGGGGGACCGAGCGCCUGGGGCUUUCAGCAGGACCUGUGUGGAGAAUGCAUUUGAUGGAGAAGAGCCUAGCCGCUGUAAUAACCUGGGAAGGGAACGAUGAGGUUUGUGGCAGGGCCAUGGGCCAGGGACUGAGAAUGCUUCCAGGGGGAGUGAAUCUGAAGUGGUGCUCCCUGCCUGCUACCCACAGACGAGUACCGGAAGCGAGAGUGUAAAGACCACCUCAGAGUAAACCUGAAGUUUCUGACCAGGACGAGAAGCACCGUGGCUGAGUCUGUGAGCCAGCAGAUUUUGCGCCAGAACCGGGGCCGCAAGGCCUGUGACCGGCCUGUGGCCAAGACCAAGAAGAAGAAGGCUGAGGGCACCGUGUUCACCGAGGAAGACUUCCAGAAGUUCCAGCAGGAAUACUUCGGCAGCUAGGCUCCCUGGAGGGCACAGUGAAGAGGCCUUCAAGCCCCGCAGCCUCCGACUCCUCUGCUGGCUCCAGGAACCGGCCGUGCAGCGCGGCCAGCAGAUGGCGAUGCAGGACCAGCCUGGCUCGAGGAAGCCGCGGAGCUGGAGUCCAGUGGAGGCUGGAAUGGAGCUGGUGGGCCGGAAGUCCUGGGGAGGAUUUACACACAGACCGGAGCUGGCUUCCGCAGGCCUGGGCAGAGCAUCUGCACCUGUCUGUUUUGUUUGCUUUUGCCCAGGUGGGGCCUCUGGGCUGUUUGCUGUGGAGCAAGGCUAAUUCCUGAGCCCCCGGGGACGACACUUCCAGGAGUAGGAAGAAGGGUGGGCUUCCAAGUUAUAAUAAAUGUGAACCC